Pipra filicauda (Wire-tailed manakin) is the source of this 2515-nucleotide long non-coding RNA. RefSeq lists it as uncharacterized. The record is from RefSeq and is a predicted model, not a curated record. NCBI's taxonomy places the organism in Eukaryota, Metazoa, Chordata, Aves, Passeriformes, Pipridae. The transcript has 5 exons.
CCGGGCUGGGGGCUCCUGGUGCUGCCCGUGGGGGGGGGUGUGCCCAGGACGCUGCCAAUGCCCAGGGAUCUGCUCUGGGUCCAGGCUGUCCGUGCUGGAGGGCCCUGGUGGCUGCAGUCCCUGAGCCCGCAGAGACAGAGAGAGCCCCGGCCCGAGGGGCCUUUGGCCCCUUGUCCUGAAUUUGGGAGCGCUGGGGACAGUUUGGGCUUGGCAGCUUCAGAGCUGGGACGGAGCAGCCCCUGGAAAGAAUCAGGAGAGUGGAGAUGCUGGAAUUGCCUCUCUGGGUGUGUGCUGAGCUCUGGCUGCAGGGGACUGUCAGGCCUUGGUGGCUCUGUUCCCUGCUGUCCAUUCCCUGGCCUGAAUUCCUUGCAGCUCCCAGCUGGGGAAACCUGGGAGAACAUGGCAGGGACAGAGGUGACAUUUGUAGCUGCCAACUUGGGGUAAUUUCGAGGGGCCCCAGCAACUGUUUCUGAAGGAAAAGGUGAGGUGCUGCAGAGGGGAGGGAGGUGGCAUUUUGGAGGGGUCCCACUGAGGGGGAGUGGAGAGCCUGGGGCUGGAGUGUGAGUUCUUAAACAGGGAAGAAGGGAAGGAUGCUUGGGAGGGAAACACUCAGGGAAUGUGUAGGGAUGGAAGGGAAAUUUGGGGCGUCAGGAAGAGAAAAUGGGUGAUGUAGAGGAAGGGAAAUGUUGGGUGUAAGAGUUGAUCUCAUCUGUAGAGGACAGAAUGACCAUUUAGAGAUAAAGUGAGGCAGUGAGUGGUGGGCAGGUAGGGAAAAUUUGUGUGUGUAAAAUUUCAGGUCACCUGUAGCAGAGAGGAUGUACCUCCUGCUGGACACUGAGGCAGUCAGGGGUGGGCAGGAGGGGAAACCUUUGGGGGUAAAACUUGAGGGAACGUCCAGGGCAGAGAGUGAAUAUUUUGAAGGAUAAAUGAGGUGCUCAGUGGUGGACAGCUGGGGAGUGUUUUAGGGUAAACUUGGGGUAGCCCACAGGGUAGAGAGUGAACAUGUAUUUGUACAGAGGAGCUGACCUACCCCUACAUGUGAGUAGGUAAGGAGAAUUUUGGGAGUAAAAUCUGGGCAAUCUGUAGCAGAGAGAAUGAAUACCUUGGUGUGAAGUGAGACAGUCAGUGUCGGGCAGGUAGGGAAGAUUUCUGUUUGUAAACUUUGAGGUCAGGUGGAGCAGAGAAUGUACAUCUUGAGGUAAACUGGGGUAAUCAUUUGUGGACUCAUAGGGAAAAUUGGGGGGGGAAAUAUCUGAGGUAAUCUGCAUGGUAGAGGAUGAAUAUUGAGAGGUGAACAUGAGGUACUCAGUGGUGGACUUGUAGGGAAAAUUGUGGGGGUCAAAUCUGUGGCAAUGUGCAGCAGAGAGAAGGAACAUUUUGGAACAAAGUGAGGCAGUCAGUGGGGGAGAGGCUGAGAAAUUUCUGAGGGUGAAACUUGAGCCAGUCUGCAGGGCAAAGAAUGAAUAUUUGGAGGUCCAAAAGAGGUAAUCAGGAGUGUGCAGUAGGGAAGACUCUGGGGGUUAAAAAGGAGGUAAUCUCUGGGGGAGAGAAUGACUCUUUUGUGUUCAAGGAGAGGUAAUCAGGAGUGGGCUGAAAGGGGAGAUUUUGGGGGUUAAGAAGGAGGUUCAUUCUCUCCAGGGCAGGGAAUGAACACACUGAGGUAACCUGAGGUGAUGAGUGGUGAGAGACACAGAAAUCUGUGUGUGUUAAAGUUCAGGUGAUCUGCUGGGAAGAGAAGGAACCUGUUGAGGUAAAGAUGAGGCACUCGGUGGCAGACAGGUGGGGAGAGCUUUGAGAUAAGCCUGAGGUGUCUGUGGGGUGCAGAAUGACCCUCUGUAGGUACUAAGGAGCUGGUCAGACGUGGACAGGUAAGGCAGAUGUUGGGAGUAAAAUGUGGGGCAAUCUGUCCCAGAGAGAAUGAAUCUUUUGGGGUAAGGUGAGGCAGUCAGUAGUGGGCAGGGAGGGAAAUCUUUGUUUGUCAACCCUGAGGUAAUGUGCAGCAGAGAGAAUGCACCUCCUGGGGUAAACUGGGGUAAUCAGUAGUGGACAGGUAAGGAGGUUUUGGGGGAAACUUUGAGGUAAUCUCUGUGGCAGAGGACAAAUCUUUGGAGGUAAAAAUGAAGUAAUAAGUAGUUUGCAGGCAGGGAAAACUGUGAGGGUAAGUCUGGAUGUCACCUAGGGGAGAAAAGGAGCCUUUUGAGGUCCAGUGAGGCAGUCAGGGGUGGGCAGGGAGGGAAAAUUUGUGUUUGUAAAAUCAGAGGUCAUGUGGAGGAGAGAGAAUGCACCUCCUGGGCUAAACUGGGGUAAACCUUGCGGACCUGCAGGGAAAAUGUGGGGGGUAAAACUUGUGGGAAUCUGCAGGGCAGAGAGUGAAUCUUGUGAGGUGAAAAUGAGUUCCUGGGUGGUGGAGAGGUGGGGAAAGUGUUGAGAGUAAACUGGAGGGGAUCUGCUGGGUGGAGAAUGAACAUCUUGAUGUAGGAGUGAGUUGCUGAGAUGUGGAGGGGUCGGGAAAAUG